Molecule: ribosomal RNA, 274 nt
Filed under: Pseudomonas sp. LS94
Lineage: Bacteria; Pseudomonadati; Pseudomonadota; Gammaproteobacteria; Pseudomonadales; Pseudomonadaceae
Description: partial 16S ribosomal RNA
Rfam family: Bacterial small subunit ribosomal RNA
Source: RNAcentral
GGGACCUUCGGGCCUUGCGCUAUCAGAUGAGCCUAGGUCGGAUUAGCUAGUUGGUGAGGUAAUGGCUCACCAAGGCGACGAUCCGUAACUGGUCUGAGAGGAUGAUCAGUCACACUGGAACUGAGACACGGUCCAGACUCCUACGGGAGGCAGCAGUGGGGAAUAUUGGACAAUGGGCGAAAGCCUGAUCCAGCCAUGCCGCGUGUGUGAAGAAGGUCUUCGGAUUGUAAAGCACUUUAAGUUGGGAGGAAGGGCAUUUACCUAAUACGUUAGU